AUCUUUGCGCAGUGGCAAUACCGUAACCAAUGAAGUCCUCCUGAGGUGCGGUUAUUGCUAGUUGAAAACUUUAACCAAUAUAACGCGGCAUGAACAUUCUCUCAACUCGCCACUCGCAAUUGCUCGCAGUGUACUCUAAGCCAAAGCUGCAGUACU
Molecule: small nuclear RNA, 156 nt
Organism: Drosophila erecta
Lineage: Eukaryota; Metazoa; Arthropoda; Insecta; Diptera; Drosophilidae
Product: U4 spliceosomal RNA
Exons: 1
Source: RefSeq, a predicted model, not a curated record